This 492-nucleotide ribosomal RNA is filed under the name uncultured bacterium. RNAcentral describes it as "partial 16S ribosomal RNA". It matches the Rfam family "Bacterial small subunit ribosomal RNA", at positions 29 to 507 of the family's 1533-position model. The record is from RNAcentral.
AGUGAACGCUGGCGGUAGGCCUAACACAUGCCAGUCGAACGGCAGCACAGUAAGAGCUUGCUCUUACGGGUGGCGAGUGGCGGACGGGUGAGGAAUACAUCGGAAUCUACUUUUUCGUGGGGGAUAACGUAGGGAAACUUACGCUAAUACCGCAUACGACCUACGGGUGAAAGCAGGGGAUCUUCGGACCUUGCGCGAUUGAAUGAGCCGAUGUCGGAUUAGCUAGUUGGCGGGGUAAAGGCCCACCAAGGCGACGAUCCGUAGCUGGUCUGAGAGGAUGAUCAGCCACACUGGAACUGAGACACGGUCCAGACUCCUACGGGAGGCAGCAGUGGGGAAUAUUGGACAAUGGGCGCAAGCCUGAUCCAGCCAUACCGCGUGGGUGAAGAAGGCCUUCGGGUUGUAAAGCCCUUUUGUUGGGAAAGAAAAGCAGAAGGUUAAUACCCCGCUGUUCUGACGGUACCCAAAGAAUAAGCACCGGCUAACUUCGUG